CGUUAAAGCUUAAUUAUAUACCCAAUAAAUCCCCCAACCAAAUUAAAACCCUACCACAAUACUGAAUAAUUCCAUACGUCUAUGGAAAAUAUAAUGUUAAAACUAGUAACAUGAAGUUAAAACCUCUCUUAAAUGUAAAUGUAAGUCAGAAUGGAACACACACUGACAAUUAACAACCUAAACUAAAGUAAUAAAUACUCAAGAAAACCAUACUAUUCCGCCUGUUAACCUAACACAAGAACAUUUAAAGAAAGACUUAAAGAAAAAGAAGGAACUCGGCAAAACUGAUUCCGCCUGUUUACCAAAAACAUCGCCUCCUGAUUCCAACUAUAGAAGGUCCCGCCUGCCCAGUGACUCUGUUUAACGGCCGCGGUAUUCUAACCGUGCGAAGGUAGCGUAAUCACCUGUUUUUUAAUUAAUAAUUAAAGACCUGUAUGAAAGGCAUCACGAGAAUCACACUGUCUCCUUUCUCAAGUCAGUGAAACUAAUCUCCUCGUGAAAAAGCGAGGAUGACACUACAAGACGAGAAGACCCUUUGGAGCUUAAGACAAAAUAAAUACCUGCUAACUCCUGCCCCCCAACACCACACAGCACCCUAUUUAUAAGUCUUGGGUUGGGGCAACCACGGAGUAAAAACAAACCUCCGGGCUGAACGGAAAUUUCCUAAACAAAGAGCAACAGCUCUAUGUAUCAAAAAACUGACAAUUUGACCCAGUAUAUCUGAUUAACGAACCAAGUUACCCCAGGGAUAACAGCGCAAUCCACUUAAAGAGUUCAUAUCGAAAAGUGGGCUUACGACCUCG
This 803-nucleotide ribosomal RNA is filed under the name Eleutherodactylus limbatus (Habana robber frog). RNAcentral's name for it is "partial 16S ribosomal RNA". It matches the Rfam family "Bacterial large subunit ribosomal RNA", at positions 1479 to 2528 of the family's 2925-position model. Lineage: Eukaryota; Metazoa; Chordata; Amphibia; Anura; Eleutherodactylidae. The record is from RNAcentral.